RNAcentral lists this non-coding RNA (21 nucleotides) under Caenorhabditis elegans. The record is from RNAcentral. Lineage: Eukaryota; Metazoa; Nematoda; Chromadorea; Rhabditida; Rhabditidae.
UACAUAUGUAGUGUCCACUAU